Molecule: non-coding RNA, 96 nt
Filed under: Lentzea albidocapillata
Lineage: Bacteria; Bacillati; Actinomycetota; Actinomycetes; Pseudonocardiales; Pseudonocardiaceae
Description: Glycine sequence
Rfam family: Glycine riboswitch aptamer
About the family: This family represents the bacterial glycine riboswitch.
Source: Rfam by way of RNAcentral
UGAACUCAGGCGGGAGAGCCCGGGCUUCGAGCCCGGCGCCGAAGGAGCAAGUCCCUCCCCGGGAACCUCUCAGGCAUCCAGGACCGCCAGAGUGAG